RNAcentral lists this ribosomal RNA (4407 nucleotides) under Triticum aestivum (bread wheat). Its description in RNAcentral is "partial small subunit ribosomal RNA". The record is from RNAcentral. Lineage: Eukaryota; Viridiplantae; Streptophyta; Magnoliopsida; Poales; Poaceae.
AUGGCGGCGAGCGAGCGAUCACUGCCCUGCCUCUUCCUCCACGGCGCCAGCGCCGGGGCCCACCUCAUCCUCGCGCUCGCCGUUGCUGGGAGCCGGCUCUUCCCCCGCCGCGGGAAGGACACGGCCGUCGCCGUGGGCGGGUUCCCGUGCUACGCGGUGGUGGUCUGCGCCACGUGGGCUCUGGCUUUAUUCCAGCUCCUCCUUGCCGCGUACUCCUGCUACCUGGACGCCGGCGCCGGGUGGCCGCUCGACGCGGUGGUGGACCAGGCGGAUGCCGCCACACGCGCGGUGGCGUGGCUGCUGCUCGCGGCGUACCUGCAGUUCGAGUUCCGCCGCGAGGAGCGGUUCCCCGCGCCGCUCAGGCUCUGGUGGGCGCUCUUCCUGCUGCUCUCGGUCGUCGCCGUCGCUGUGCACGUCGCGACGAGCCUCGACGGGCUCCCCGUGCCAGCGCGUUCGUGGGCGCUCGACGCCGUCUCGGUCCUCGCGGCCGUGGUGCUGCUCGUCGCUGGCCUUUCUGGCAAGAGCGAAGCAGGCGGGUCUCCUUCAGAGGAGCCCCUGCUAGAUGGCGCGAGCGAGAGCAGCAGCGCCUAUGCCUCCGCGUACGCCGGCGCCGGCCUCCUCGGCGUCCUCACCUUCUCCUGGAUGGGGCCGCUUCUCGCCGUGGGCCACAAGAAGGCCCUCGGCCUCGACGACGUCCCGGGCCUCGACCCCGGCGAUAGCGUGGCCGGCCUGCUCCCCUCGUUCAAGGCCAACCUCGAGACGCUGGCCGGCGACGGCACCACGAGCCAAAGGGUGACGGCGUUCAAGCUCGCCAAGGUGCUGGUGCGCACCUUCCGCUGGCACGUCGCGGUGACCGCGCUCUACGCGCUGGUCUACAACGUGGCCACCUACGUCGGCCCGUACCUCAUCGACUCCCUCGUGCGGUACCUCAACGGCGGCGACGAGAGGCACGCGAGGAAGGGGCAGCUCCUUGUCCUCGCCUUCAUCGCAGCCAAGGUGUUCGAGUGUUUGUCGCAGCAGCACUCGUGCUUCCGGCUGCAGCAGGUCGGGAUACGAGCGCGCUCCGCACUCGUCGCCGUCGUGUACGAGAAAGGGCUGGCCCUCUCCGGCCGUUCCAGGCAGACCCACUCGAGCGGCGAGAUGGUCAACAUCGUCGGCGUCGACGCCGACCGCGUCGGGAACUCCUCCUGGUACAUCCACGACCUGUGGCUGGUACCGCUCCAAGUAAGCAUGGCGAUGUUCGUCCUCUACUCCACUCUCGGGCUUGCCUCGCUCGCCGCGCUCGGCGCCACCGCGGCCGUCAUGCUUGUCAACGUUCCUUCGGUGAAAGUCCAGGAGAAACUCCAGCAGAAUCUGAUGAGGAGCAAGGACGUUCGGAUGAAGGCGACGUCCGAGAUCCUACGCAACAUGAGGAUUCUCAAGCUGCAGGGGUGGGAGAUGAAGUUCUUGUCCAAGAUCAUCGCCCUCAGGAAGACAGAAACAAACUGGCUCAAGAAGUACCUGUACACCUCGACCAUGAUCACCUUCAUCUUCUGGAGUGCCCCUACAUUCAUCGCCGUGGUCACCUUCGGAGCAUGCGUCCUCAUGGGGAUACCAUUGGAGUCGGGCAAGGUGCUGUCUGCAUUGGCCACACUCCGGGUGCUGCAGGAAUCGAUAUACAACCUUCCGGACAGGAUCUCGGCCAUCAUCCAGACCAAGGUGUCUCUUGACAGGAUAGCAUCCUUCCUAUGCCUCGAGGAGUUCCCGACGGACGCUGUGCAGAAGCUGCCGAUCGGCAGCUCAGAUGUUGCAAUCGAGGUCAGCAACGGGUGCUUCUCCUGGGAUGCCUCGCCUGAAAUGCCAACGCUCAAGGACCUCAACUUUCAAGCUCGGCAGGGCACGCGUGUAGCAGUCUGCGGCACGGUCGGCUCCGGAAAAUCGAGCCUGCUCUCUUGCAUUCUUGGCGAGGUUCCGAAGCUAUCAGGAGUGGUCAGGACUUGCGGUACAAUAGCCUAUGUGAGCCAGUCAGCGUGGAUACAGAGCGGCAAGGUUCAGGAGAACAUAUUGUUUGGCAAGCAGAUGGACAGUGAGAAGUAUGACAGCGUGCUAGAGCUGUGUUCGCUGAAGAAAGACCUGGAGAGCUUCCCGUCGGGCGACCAGACGUUCAUUGGAGAGCGAGGCAUCAACCUCAGCGGUGGGCAGAAGCAGAGAGUUCAGAUAGCACGGGCUCUGUAUCAGGACGCCGACAUUUAUUUGUUCGACGACCCCUUCAGUGCUGUCGAUGCUCAUACAGGAUCCCACAUAUUCAAGGAAUGCUUGCUUGGGGCAUUGGCUCAAAAAACAGUGGUGUACGUCACUCAUCAGCUUGAAUUUUUACCUGCAGCUGAUCUUAUUCUGGUAAUUAAAGACGGCAUAAUAGCACAAUCUGGCAGAUACAACGAAAUACUUGGCUCAGGGGAAGAGUUUAUGGAACUGGUCGGUGCUCACCAGGAUGCUCUUGCAACAAUCGACACAAUCGAUGUUCCAAUUGGAGCCAGUGAGGCUUUCUCAUCUGGUGGCGCAGCAAGUCUGUCCGGGUCACUGACAUCAGCUGAGAAAAAGGAUAAGCAAAAUGUCAAACAAGAUGAUGGCCAUGAUCAGAGUGGGCAGCUGGUGCAGGAAGAAGAAAGGGAGAGAGGUAGGGUGGGGUUUUGGGUCUACUGGAAGUACCUCACCUUAGCUUAUGGGGGAGCUCUUGUGCCAUUCGUGCUGCUCGCGCAGAUACUUUUUGAAGUGCUUCACAUUGCUAGCAAUUACUGGAUGGCCUGGGCUGCUCCUGCGUCGAAGGACGUCGAGCCUCCAGUGAGCAUGUACACACUGAUAUACGUCUAUGUGGCAUUGGCCCUAGGAAGCUCGGUGUGCACCUUCGUGAGAGCCCUGUUUCUUGUGCCAGCCGCAUACAAGACAGCAACUCUGUUGUUUAACAAGAUGCAUGUAUCCAUAUUCAGAGCUCCGAUGUCUUUCUUUGAUUCCACUCCAAGUGGGCGCAUCUUGAAUAGGGCUUCGACUGAUCAAAGCCUGGUGGACACCAGCAUUGCUAACAGGAUGGGUUCUAUUGCGUUUGCCUUCAUACAACUUGGUGGAACUAUUGUUGUGAUGUCUCAGGUUGCAUGGCAGGUCUUUGUUGUUUUCAUUCCUGUAAUUGCUAUCUGCCUCUGGUAUCAGCGCUACUACAUUGAUACAGCCAGAGAGUUGCAAAGGAUGGUCGGGAUUUGCAAAGCUCCUAUCAUACAACAUUUUGUAGAAUCAAUAACAGGAUCAGCAAUCAUUAGAAGUUUUGGCAAGGAAAAACAGUUUUUAGCAACUAAUAACCAGCUAAUGGAUGCCUACUCACGACAAAAAUUCUACAAUGCUGGAGCAAUGGAAUGGCUUUGCUUCCGCAUGGAUAUGCUAUCAUCCCUUACAUUUGCCAUCUCUUUAAUAUUUUUAAUCAAUCUGCCGACCGGUAUCAUUGAUCCAGGAAUUGCUGGCCUUGUAGUCACAUAUGGGCUUAAUCUGAACAUAAUGCAAGUAACGCUUGUAACAAGCAUGUGCAAUUUGGAGAACAAGAUCAUCUCAGUAGAGAGAAUUUUGCAAUACCUAAGCCUUCCUGAAGAGGCCCCUCUUUUGAUGUCUGAAGAUGGGUUGGCCCAUAACUGGCCGUCAGAGGGAGAAAUUCAGCUCCAUAACCUCCAUGUGAAAUAUGCUCCACAACUACCGUUUGUUCUGAAGGGCCUUACAGUCACUUUUCCUGGAGGCAUGAAGACAGGUAUUGUUGGUAGAACAGGCAGUGGUAAAUCAACUCUCAUACAGGCCCUUUUCCGUAUCAUGGAUCCCACUGUCGGCCAGAUAACAGUAGACGGCGUCGACAUUUGCACCAUCGGGUUGCAUGAUCUGAGAUCUAGAUUGAGCAUCAUUCCGCAAGACCCAACGAUGUUCGACGGAACCGUGAGACACAACCUUGACCCUCUAGGAGAGUACACUGACAAUCAAAUCUGGGAGGCCUUGGAUCACUGUCAGCUAGGAGAUGAAGUUCGGAGAAAGGAGCUCAAACUUGACUCGCCAGUGGUGGAGAACGGAGAGAACUGGAGCGUCGGCCAGCGUCAGCUCGUCUGUCUCGGCAGGGUGAUCUUGAGACGGACCAAGAUACUGGUCCUGGACGAAGCCACCGCUUCGGUGGACACCGCAACAGAUAACCUGAUCCAGAAGACACUGCAGCAGCAUUUCUCGGGGGCGACCGUCAUCACAAUCGCGCAUCGAAUCACCUCGGUCCUUCACAGUGAUAUAGUCUUGCUUCUUGACAAUGGCAUGGCUGUGGAGCACCAAACGCCAGCCAGGUUGCUGGAGGACAAAUCCUCUCUGUUCUCAAAGCUUGUAGCGGAAUACACGAUGAGGUCGACGCGCACUUGA